Long non-coding RNA from Chenopodium quinoa (quinoa), 1599 nucleotides. RefSeq lists it as uncharacterized. NCBI's taxonomy places the organism in Eukaryota, Viridiplantae, Streptophyta, Magnoliopsida, Caryophyllales, Amaranthaceae. The transcript is spliced from 3 exons. The record is from RefSeq and is a predicted model, not a curated record.
UUAAGUGAGAGGACUCUACCGAGUGACAAUGCCACUUGUUGAAUGUUACUUCCUACUUUCCUAGAUAUGUAUCCAAACACUUUUUUUUUUUCCUUUUUUAUCCUAAGAGGAGAUAUUCAAUAUAUCUGAAGUUCUGAACCUUUUGUUUUACUUUUGAGUUUUUCUGCUGAAUGGAACCUUGAUAUACUUCAGGGCUUCAGGCCAUCUGGGCUGAAAAACGGUGAAUAAAGAGAUUCAUCUGGUUCCUCUAGAUUGCUAGAGUUUGUGCUAUGGUUACAUUGAGAAAAUCUUUUUGUUAGGCUUCGGCGCACAUUAAGGAAUUUAGUAGGGUGAAAGUAAGAGAAAGAGAGUUUGUAGAGGGAUCUACUUUACAUGAUUUGAGUGAGAAAAUUUUCUUUUUCAAGUAAUAGGAAUUUUUUUUGCAAACAUCCUGAAAAGGUAUACGGGAAAGAUUAUUUGUGGACAUAAUGAGUAUAAUAUAUGUUGGGCUAUCUACAUUACAAUUGCCUAUUUGGACUUAUUGCUUGUUUUUAUAUGAAAAUCAGGAGUGAGCAGAAUGUGUUGUUUAUCAUCUGAGUAAGCAGUCUCUCAAUAACACAAAUUACAACAUGCAUUAUAAUUUUGGAAGUAGAAUUGGUCAGGGGUUGCGCGAACGCAGACCCCCACUAUCACAAAUUAUGACGUACACUCUUCCUCUUGGGAAGAUGUUAGGCUAGCACCCCUCCUAAUGUGCAAUGGAGGCCACCAACCUAGGCCAUGAGCCUUCUUGAUCGCCCAUUGACCCCGUCCAGGUUGAAGAACUAUCAUAAUCUUUGGGCUCUCCUUAAUUUUCUUAAGGCACCUGAGCUGACUGAAGAUUUCCAAUUAAAGGUGGAAUAAGAAGUAAAAUUUGAAGAAAUGGAUCGAGAUCUGGCACCAUAAGUUCCCGGUAUUUGCUCUUUUUAUACAUUAUUCAGUUAUUGGAGAGGGUUUGUGGUUGCAGCUUGUUUGGGCUCUCCUUAAUUUUCAUAAGGCACCUGAGCUGACUGAAGAUUUCAAAUAAAAGGUGGAAUAAGAAGUAAAAUUUGAAGAAAUGGAUCGAGAUCUGGCACCAUUAGUUCCCGGUCCAGUUUGUUUGCUGGCAAAUCAUUCAAUACUUAAAAGUGCCAGAAUCUGAAGAUGUUAAGGCAGGUAGGAGAAAAAUUAAAUCUUUUAGCUCAACUUCCCUUGUUGUUGUCUAUUGGUUUAGAGACUUGGUGAAGUAUUAAGUGAGGUUUGUUUAGAAAAAGGAACACCUUUUGGAAGCCACUCUCGGCUGAUAGAUGACCUAGAAGAUUGGAUAGAAAUGAUUUGUGGUUGGCUUUGGCACUAUGAGAUGUUUUGGCUGUAACAAAUUUAAUAGGUUUCUGGAGAUUAAGCUUUAUGGGCUGCAAAAUGCAGCAAUGUUUAUAGUCCCACAUUGAAAAAUAAUGAUAUAAAGGCUUUAUUUAUAAUGCUCUUGUGUCUUUAAACCAUUGUCUCUUAGGAGACAUCUGAUAAAAUUGGAACGAUACAGAGAAGAUUAGCAUGGCCCCUGCGCAAGGAUGACACGCACAAAUCGAGAAAUGGUCCAAAUUUUUU